UACGUAGGGUGCAAGCGUUAAUCGGAAUUACUGGGCGUAAAGCGUGCGCAGGCGGUUAUGCAAGACAGAUGUGAAAGCCCCGGGCUUAACCUGGGAACUGCGUUUGAAACUGGGAGACUUGAGUGUGGCAGAGGGGGGUGGAAUUCCACGUGUAGCAGUGAAAUGCGUAGAUAUGUGGAGGAACACCGAUGGCGAAGGCAGCCCCCUGGGUUAACACUGACGCUCAUGCACGAAAGCGUGGGGAGCAAACAGG
Molecule: ribosomal RNA, 253 nt
Filed under: uncultured bacterium
Lineage: Bacteria
Description: partial 16S ribosomal RNA
Rfam family: Bacterial small subunit ribosomal RNA
Source: RNAcentral